ACCGGCAGCUCAAGUGGUGGCCAUUUUUAUUGGGCCUAAAGCGUUCGUAGCCGGUUUGAUAAGUCUCUGGUGAAAUCUCACGGCUUAACCGUGAGAAUUGCUGGAGAUACUAUUAGGCUUGAGGCCGGGAGAGGCUGGAGGUACUCCCAGGGGAGGGGCGAAAGCAUAGAAGCCUGGGAUGACAAACGAAGGCGAAGGCGGCCAGCUGGAAAGGACAUGACGGUGAGUAACUAAAGCGAGGGGUGUGGUGUG
Molecule: ribosomal RNA, 252 nt
Filed under: uncultured prokaryote
Description: partial 16S rRNA
Rfam family: Archaeal small subunit ribosomal RNA
Source: RNAcentral